UUAUAAAAAAAAUAAAAUAUUGAUAAGGUAAUAAUUUUAAAUUUUUUGAGUUAUAAUGAGAUAUCAAUAAAUAUAAAUAGUAUGAGAAAAAAGAGUAUGGAGAAAUUUUAUUUUACUUUUUUUUUUGUAAAAAUAAUUUGUCCAAAUAACAAUUGAUCAUAUGAAUUAAUACAUUAAUUAGACAGUAAACAAGUGAGAAGACGAAACAUCAGGCAGAGAUGGAAAGGCGAAGCAUCAGAGAGUGAAAAAAGAAAAGAAGAUAAGGAUAAAGGAGAAAUUGCCAUAUGACGAAACUAUAAAGAAUAAUAUAUAGAUAUAAAUUUAUGGUAAUGA
This 333-nucleotide long non-coding RNA is filed under the name Ananas comosus (pineapple). RNAcentral describes it as "long non-coding RNA (ACOM_LNC027420)". The record is from RNAcentral. Lineage: Eukaryota; Viridiplantae; Streptophyta; Magnoliopsida; Poales; Bromeliaceae.